RNAcentral lists this long non-coding RNA (257 nucleotides) under Gallus gallus (chicken). RNAcentral describes it as "long non-coding RNA NONGGAT002519". The record is from RNAcentral. Lineage: Eukaryota; Metazoa; Chordata; Aves; Galliformes; Phasianidae.
AUUCAGACUAUUGUGGCAUCAUACUGCAGUGUCUAGGUGCCAUUUAGACACUGAACACAAGGAACCUGCAACCAAACUCAAGUUGCAAAAGUAGAAAAAUGCUGUAUUAUCUCUAUUCCCUUGAGUAUGCCAGACUAGCAAGUCUGAAGCAGAAUACUGCUGAAGUGAACACUGCCAUGAAGAGAAGACGGAAGAUCACUCUCUCCCAAAAGGAGCUUAAAAUUCAGUCAUAUUAAUUUCAAAGGAUUGAAAUUCUU